RNAcentral lists this long non-coding RNA (2106 nucleotides) under Solanum tuberosum (potato). RNAcentral's name for it is "long non-coding RNA (STUB_LNC002979)". The record is from RNAcentral. Lineage: Eukaryota; Viridiplantae; Streptophyta; Magnoliopsida; Solanales; Solanaceae.
GGGCGAGGCUAUUGUUCUCCAAGUACUCAUACACCAAUAGAAGUUGAUUUCCUUCAGCACAACAUCCAUAUAGUUUGACAAGAUUUGGGUGCUGUAAACUAGAGAUCAUACCUAUCUCAUUCACAAACUCGCGGUUCCCUUGUUUUGAUUUGGAUGAAAGCUGCUUAACAGCAAUGACUGUACCAUCCAGUAGUGUACCCUGCUUAUUAAUUAAAAACAAAGAAGAAAUAAACAGGUCAUGGCUGUCUAUACAUGCAUAAAAAGCUAAUCCUUUUGCUAUCCCAAUGCAGAUUUUUUGCCUUGUUGGCCAGUCUAUUCGGAGACGAUGUUCUUCUGGACCUACAUUUUAAUGAGAAAUAAGAAUCUAUGCAUACCUUCUCUCAUUUUGAACUCUUUCAUGAAUUACGAACAAGCAAUAUUUCUUCUUAUUCCAUUAAGCUUAUUUUCUGUUUGACUUGUAAGUUGUAACUGAAAACAAUGAGCAAGGAUAGUAAAUUACCAAAUAAAGCACGGGCGAGGCUAUUGUUCUCCAAGUACUCAUACACCAAUAGAAGUUGAUUUCCUUCAGCACAACAUCCAUAUAGUUUGACAAGAUUUGGGUGGUGUAAACUAGAGAUCAUACCUAUCUCAUUUACAAACUCGCGGUUCCCUUGUUUUGAUUUGGAUGAAAGCUGCUUAACAGCAAUGACUGUACCAUCCAGUAGUGUACCCUGCUUAUUAAUUAAAAACAAAGAAGAAAUAAACAGGUCAUGGCUGUCUAUACAUGCAUAACAUCCACUUCUAGAUGUUGUAGCUAAACGAAAAAGGGUCAAGGUAAAUGGUUGUAGUGUGCCCUGCAGUGGAACAAUAAAAGGAACACCAGGAAUUAACAAGGUUCGACAAACUUUUGUUUUCUUUUGCCUACUCCUCGGACACAACCAACCAAUAUUUAUUUCACUCCAAAAGAGUACAAGUGAAAUACUACAAGAGAGAAAGAAGAUCAAAUGCCUUUGAAGAUGAGAAGGCAAGUGAGAUUAGGAACUACCUAUUUAUAGGAGUGAAUUCUUCCUAUUGAUGUCAUCCAUGACAUCACAAUGUGUCAAAAUGUCAAGAUUUACCUUGUGAAACCAUUUUAUGGUUCACCUAAAUUUCACCUACAAAAGAUGUUAUCUUGACUUUUGAACCAAUGAAGAAUUAUCUUCCUAACUACCAAAUCUUCACAUUAAUUCAUCUUUGAAUCUUGUCAAAUUUAACAUUUGUUGCUUUGAUGUCCCUAUGAACAAUUUUUAAUGACGAUUCCUCGUGUAGAAAAGCUAAGCCUUUUGCUAUCCCAAUGCAGAUUUUUUGCCUUGUUGGCCAGUCUAUUUGGAGACGAUGUUCUUCUGGACCUGCAUUUUAAUGAGAACUAAGAAUCUAUGCAUACCUUCUCUCAUUUUGAACUCUUUCAUGAAUUACGAACAAGCAAUAUUUCUUCUUAUUCCAUUAAGCUUAUUUUCUGUUUGACUUGUAAGUUGUAACUGAAAACAAUGAGCAAGGAUAGUAAAUUACCAAAUAAAGCACGGGCGAGGCUAUUGUUCUCCAAGUACUCAUACACCAAUAGAAGUUGAUUUCCUUCAGCACAACAUCCAUAUAGUUUGACAAGAUUUGGGUGGUGUAAACUAGAGAUCAUACCUAUCUCAUUUACAAACUCGCGGUUCCCUUGUUUUGAUUUGGAUGAAAGCUGCUUAACAGCAAUGACUGUACCAUCCAGUAGUGUACCCUGCUUAUUAAUUAAAAACAAAGAAGAAAUAAACAGGUCACGGCUGUCUAUACAUGCAAAACCUCCACUUCUAGAUGUUGUAGCUAAACGAAAAAGGGUCAAGGUAAAUGGUUGUAGUGUGCCCUGCAGUGGAUGGAGGACCUAUAAUAACAUCAAUUGAACCCAUCGUUUUUAUUUGUACUGUAGUAAUAUGUGAAAAAACAUUAAAAUUAUACUCCAUCCGUUUCAAUUUGUUUGUCUUACUUUCCUUUUUGGUCAGUUUCAAAAGAAUAUCUUCCCUUUUUGGCAACUCUUUAAAAUCUUGGAUUUUCCUCUGCUUGCAUGUGUAUGUAAAUGACUGCAUGGGAUGAGGCAUUGGUAUGUGGAGA